RNAcentral lists this ribosomal RNA (406 nucleotides) under uncultured bacterium. RNAcentral describes it as "bacterial SSU rRNA". It matches the Rfam family "Bacterial small subunit ribosomal RNA", at positions 88 to 507 of the family's 1533-position model. The record is from RNAcentral.
UGCUCGAGUGGCGAACGGGUGAGUAACACGUGAGUAACCUGCCCUUGACUUUGGGAUAACUUCAGGAAACUGGGGCUAAUACCGGAUAGGAGCUCCUGCUGCAUGGGUGGGGGUUGGAAAGUUUCGGCGGUUGGGGAUGGACUCGCGGCUUAUCAGCUUGUUGGUGGGGUAGUGGCUUACCAAGGCUUUGACGGGUAGCCGGCCUGAGAGGGUGACCGGCCACAUUGGGACUGAGAUACGGCCCAGACUCCUACGGGAGGCAGCAGUGGGGAAUAUUGCACAAUGGGCGGAAGCCUGAUGCAGCAACGCCGCGUGCGGGAUGACGGCCUUCGGGUUGUAAACCGCUUUCGCCUGUGACGAAGCGUGAGUGACGGUAAUGGGUAAAGAAGCACCGGCUAACUACGUG